CACGUAGGCGGACAUUUAAGUCAGGGGUGAAAUCCCGGGGCUCAACCCCGGAACUGCCUUUGAUACUGGGUGUCUAGAGUAUGGAAGAGGUGAGUGGAAUUCCGAGUGUAGAGGUGAAAUUCGUAGAUAUUCGGAGGAACACCAGUGGCGAAGGCGGCUCACUGGUCCAUUACUGACGCUGAGGUGCGAAAGCGUGGGGAGCAAACA
Molecule: ribosomal RNA, 207 nt
Filed under: uncultured bacterium
Lineage: Bacteria
Description: partial 16S ribosomal RNA
Rfam family: Bacterial small subunit ribosomal RNA
Source: RNAcentral